Molecule: ribosomal RNA, 506 nt
Filed under: uncultured bacterium
Lineage: Bacteria
Description: partial 16S ribosomal RNA
Rfam family: Bacterial small subunit ribosomal RNA
Source: RNAcentral
GAUGAACGCUAGCUACAGGCUUAACACAUGCAAGUCGAGGGGUAACGAGAGGAAAGCUUGCUUUCCUUGUCGACGACCGGCGCACGGGUGAGUAACGCGUAUCCAACCUGCCCCCAACUAAGGAAUAACCUUGCGAAAGUAAGACUAAUACCUUAUAAUUUCCUCAGAUGCCAUCUGACGAGGAAUAAAGAUUUAUCGGUUGUGGAUGGGGAUGCGUCUGAUUAGCUUGUUGGCGGGGUAACGGCCCACCAAGGCAACGAUCAGUAGGGGUUCUGAGAGGAAGGUCCCCCACAUUGGAACUGAGACCCGGUCCAAACUCCUACGGGAGGCAGCAGUGGGGAAUAUUGGUCAAUGGGCGGAAGCCUGAACCAGCCAAGUAGCGUGCAGGAUGACGGCCCUAUGGGUUGUAAACUGCUUUUAUACAGGAAUAAAGUUAGCCACGUGUGGUUAUUUGUAGGUACUGUAUGAAUAAGGACCGGCUAAUUCCGUGCCAGCCGCCGCGGUAA